GCCUGGGUGGCUCAGUCGGUUGAGCGUCUGACUUUGGCUCAGGUCAUGAUCUCACAGCUCGUGAGUUCAAGCCCCGCGUCGGGCU
Transfer RNA from Felis catus (domestic cat), 85 nucleotides. It matches the Rfam family "tRNA". Rfam says of the family: Transfer RNA (tRNA) molecules are approximately 80 nucleotides in length. The record is from Rfam. NCBI's taxonomy places the organism in Eukaryota, Metazoa, Chordata, Mammalia, Carnivora, Felidae.